RNAcentral lists this ribosomal RNA (305 nucleotides) under uncultured bacterium. Its description in RNAcentral is "bacterial SSU rRNA". It matches the Rfam family "Bacterial small subunit ribosomal RNA", at positions 334 to 656 of the family's 1533-position model. The record is from RNAcentral.
UUAGCCUACGGGGGGCAGCAGUAGGGAAUAUUGCUCAAUGGGGGAAACCCUGAAGCAGCAACGCCGCGUGGAGGAUGAAGGUUUUAGGAUUGUAAACUCCUUUUGUAAGAGAAGAUUAUGUCGGUAUCUUACGAAUAAGCACCGGCUAACUCCGUGCCAGCAGCCGCGGUAAUACGGAGGGUGCAAGCGUUACUCGGAAUCACUGGGCGUAAAGAGCGCGUAGGCGGGUGGUCAAGUCAGAUGUGAAAUCCUGUAGCUUAACUACAGAACUGCAUUUGAAACUGGUUUUCUUGAGUGAAGUAGAG